This is an RNA transcript of Anopheles darlingi, 1858 nucleotides long. It is a transcript of the gene named serine/arginine-rich splicing factor 1A, with no coding region annotated. NCBI's taxonomy places the organism in Eukaryota, Metazoa, Arthropoda, Insecta, Diptera, Culicidae. The transcript has 5 exons. The record is from RefSeq and is a predicted model, not a curated record.
UACGGACCGGUUCAACGGAAAUUGCUGCUUUUCCAGGUGCAUUUCCAGGCGUUCCAGGUGCAGGUGUAAUUUAAAAAUUCUCCCAAGAUAUUCUCCGUAAUCCUCUUGUUCAGAGCUGUGUAAUUUCGGGACGGUUGGGCGAUUUCGGAUUUCACGCCGCUUCUUCUCGCGUUUUCCGGCCAUCUUUUCCCCUCCCGCUUUGUUUGUCACUUCUGUGCGUGCGGCGACAAAAAAACAUUUGCGCUCCGUGAAAACAAAACUCCCGGCGUAAUUCCGCUUCGAAAAGAUGUCGCAUGGCCGCAACGAGUGUCGCAUCUACGUCGGUAAUCUACCGCCCGAUAUCCGCACCAAGGACAUCCAGGAUUUGUUCCACAAGUUCGGAAAAGUUACGUUCGUGGAUCUGAAAAACCGCCGCGGGCCGCCAUUUGCUUUCGUCGAGUUUGAGGACGCUCGGGAUGCGGAUGAUGCGGUGAAGGCACGGGACGGGUACGACUACGACGGGUACCGGCUGCGAGUGGAAUUCCCGCGCGGUGGUGGUCCCGGCAGUUACCGGGGCAGCCGACAGGGUAACAGUGAUCGUAGCAGCCGUGGUGACCGUGGAAACCGUGGACCACCGGCUCGUCGUUCGCAGUUCCGCGUGACGGUUUCCGGGUUACCAUCAUCCGGAUCCUGGCAGGAUCUGAAGGAUCACAUGCGCGAGGCAGGCGACGUUUGCUUCGCCGAUGUCUACAAGGAUGGUACCGGAGUGGUAGAGUUCUUGCGGCACGAGGAUAUGAAGUACGCCAUCAAAAAGCUGGACGAUUCACGGUUCCGGUCACAUGAGGGUGAAGUGGCUUACAUUCGUGUACGGGAAGAUUCCGGUAAUGACGACAAACGAGAUCAUCGGGAUAGAUCGUACUCACCACGCAGACGAAGAGGAACACCUACCUAUUCACCGGUGCAGAGGAGCGUUUCGCGAUCGCGUUCCCGUUCCUAUCACUAAUCAUCUCCGGCCGGUCGGCGUAUGGGGCUGAAGACCCGCAGGAGGCAACUAAAGGUCAAGGAUUGAUGAAUAGGAUGUAUUGAAUAUUUUGAGGAUUCGCCAGGAUUCGGAGGAGAUUGUGCAAGGAGGAUAACGCCAGGAGAACAUUGGAUGGAGGACAGGCAAGCAGGCAAAAACACAUCGUUUACACGGAGGAUCGUCUGAACGUUCCUUCGCCCCGCUUCCUUUUUCUUAGUAGGCAGUUGCGUUGGAUGUGUUUAUACUACAUACUGGUUGGUUGCAGUAUGCUAGACCACAUUCCCACUGUACCCUGGAGUGGCGUAUCUGUUUCAGGAUCGCUUCUUCCGUGGUUUCUGCUCCCCUGGAGACUUUCAGUGGUGCUAUUGCACUCUCUUGUCCCGUUUGGUCAAAAGUAGCGGCGAGAAGCUGGAACAGUUGCCCUUUGUUGGAACACUAUUCCAUGGAUACUUGGAUGGAUCGAUCUGGAUUGGAUUGCACUGGAGAAGGAAGAAAAACGCACACCAUUGCUCUGGAUUGGCAGGUGAAUUUUGUGCUCGUUGUGGAUUCGAGGAUUACAUACACGGAUGGACUAGGAUCUCAAGGCGAUCAAUGCCCCCAAGCUGCCCAUAAUAGGUGGUGCUUGCACCAUUCCGUUUAAUAUCCUUUUGUGCUCCCCCUUCCUUCCCUCUAGCAGGCUCUUAGGCGUUCACUGAGAAUGUUAAGAGAAGGAUUCUUCGGUUACAAAACAGGAUCUGUCGAUGCUCCCGUAUGUCUUCACCAUUCGGAUACCUAUCUCGUCUUACUAAGGAGAAAGCCUUCCCGGAUACUCUUGAUCAUUCGAUCGCACGAGUGUAUGUGCUUCUGUGUGCGUGUGUU